GAUGAACGCUGGCGGCGUGCCUAAUACAUGCAAGUCGAGCGAACGGACGAGAAGCUUGCUUUUCUGAUGUUAGCGGCGGACGGGUGAGUAACACGUGGAUAACCUACCUAUAAGACUGGGAUAACUUCGGGAAACCGGAGCUAAUACCGGAUAAUAUUUUGAACCGCAUGGGUCAAAAGUGAAAGACGGUCUUGCUGUCACUUAUAGAUGGAUCCGCGCUGCAUUAGCUAGUUGGUAAGGUAACGGCUUACCAAGGCAACGAUGCAUAGCCGACCUGAGAGGGUGAUCAGCCACACUGGAACUGAGACACGGUCCAGACUCCUACGGGAGGCAGCAGUAGGGAAUCUUCCGCAAUGGGCGAAAGCCUGACGGAGCAACGCCGCGUGAGUGAUGAAGGUCUUCGGAUCGUAAAACUCUGUUAUUAGGGAAGAACAUAUGUGUAAGUAACUGUGCACAUCUUGACGGUACCUAAUCAGAAAGCCACGGCUAACUACGUG
This 497-nucleotide ribosomal RNA is filed under the name uncultured bacterium. Its description in RNAcentral is "partial 16S ribosomal RNA". It matches the Rfam family "Bacterial small subunit ribosomal RNA", at positions 28 to 507 of the family's 1533-position model. The record is from RNAcentral.